RNAcentral lists this unclassified non-coding RNA (200 nucleotides) under fungal sp. Its description in RNAcentral is "partial internal transcribed spacer 2". The record is from RNAcentral. Lineage: Eukaryota; Fungi.
UUAAGUUCAGCGGGUAUCCCUACCUGAUCCGAGGUCAAGAGCAAAUAUAUAGUCUUGAUGGGGGCCAACAAUAGCUAACAAGGUGCGCAAAAUGUGCUGCGCUCCAGGCUAACAUGCCGGCUGCCAAUUGAUUUAAGGCGAGUCUACACAAAUGCAUAGACAAACACCCAACACCAAGCAAAGCUUGAGGGUACAAAUGA